RNAcentral lists this ribosomal RNA (200 nucleotides) under uncultured eukaryote. RNAcentral describes it as "partial 18S ribosomal RNA". It matches the Rfam family "Eukaryotic small subunit ribosomal RNA", at positions 588 to 793 of the family's 1831-position model. The record is from RNAcentral.
GCUCCAAUAGCGUAUAUUAAAGUUGUUGCGGUUAAAAAGUUCGUAGUUGGAUUUCUGUCGGGGACCUCCGGUCCGCACUAUGUGCGUGUAUCUGUAGGGCCUGGCAUCCUUCCGAAAGACGUUGCUAUGCUUAAUUGCACGGUGCGGAGUUCGGAACUUUUACUUUGAGGAAUUAGAGUGUUCACGGCAGGCCAAUGCCA